This 393-nucleotide ribosomal RNA is filed under the name uncultured bacterium. RNAcentral's name for it is "partial 16S ribosomal RNA". It matches the Rfam family "Bacterial small subunit ribosomal RNA", at positions 523 to 918 of the family's 1533-position model. The record is from RNAcentral.
AUACGUAGGGAGCGAGCGUUGUCCGGAAUUACUGGGCGUAAGGGCGCGUAGGCGGCGCUUCAAGUCGUCUGUCAAAUGGAAGGGCUUAACCCUUUUUCGCAGACGAAACUGGAGAGCUUGAGAAGCAGAGAGGCAAACAGAAUUCCUGGUGUAGCGGUGAAAUGCGUAGAUAUCAGGAAGAAUACCAGUGGCGAAGGCGGUUUGGUGGCUGCAUACUGACGCUGAAGCGCGAAAGCCAGGGGAGCGAACGGGAUUAGAUACCCCGGUAGUCCUGGCAGUAAACGAUGUAUGCUGGGUGUGAGACUAGCGAUAGUUUCGUGCCGAAGUUAACGCGAUAAGCAUACCGCCUGGGGAGUACGGUCGCAAGAUUGAAACUCAAAGGAAUUGACGGGG